AGCCAAUUUUCAGUGGGCGGGUGGGUGAAGUUGUAAUAGCGCCCACGUGUUUGUAUGGGUUUUAUCUUUUUUCGUAAGGCGGUCUUGGCUGGGUUUGCUCGCCUGAUUUUUAUUAGCCUCGGGAAUUUACCGUACAGAGCAGAAUGCGAUCGCCUCUUAAAAUUAAUUAAAUUUGGUGCCUUCCCAAGUCUUUUGGGAAUGCAGUUAUCUAAAUUUUCGGCCAAAGGACAGGUUGAGAAUGGCCAGAGUUGUCGUUUCAGUAUAUUUGAAAGACUCCAGGCAUCUGUGGAUUCAUCAAGAAUAACCUUAUCCUCUUAGACAGUGUGCCUAAUUUAUUUGACCACAGAAAUG
Molecule: long non-coding RNA, 351 nt
Organism: Pantherophis guttatus
Lineage: Eukaryota; Metazoa; Chordata; Lepidosauria; Squamata; Colubridae
Source: RefSeq, a predicted model, not a curated record